Molecule: ribosomal RNA, 364 nt
Filed under: uncultured archaeon
Lineage: Archaea
Description: bacterial SSU rRNA
Rfam family: Archaeal small subunit ribosomal RNA
Source: RNAcentral
UUCCGGUUGUUCCCCCCGGACCCGACUGCUAUCAGAAUAGGACUAAGCCAUGCGAGUCAACGUAGCAAUACGUGGCAUACGGCUCAGUAACACGUAGUCAACAUGCCCAGGGGACGUGGAUAACCUCGGGAAACUGAGGAUAAACCGCGAUAGACCAUAAUGUCUGGAAUGAUUUAUGGUUCAAAUCUAUAUGGCCCCUGGAUUGGACUGCGGCCGAUCAGGCUGUUGGUGAGGUAAUGGCCCACCAAACCUAAAACCGGUACGGGCUCUGAGAGGAGAGGCCCGGAGAUGGGCACUGAGACAAGGGCCCAGGCCCUAUGGGGCGCAGCAAGCGCGAAACCUCUGCCAUAAGCGAAAGCUUGAC